Molecule: ribosomal RNA, 259 nt
Filed under: uncultured prokaryote
Description: partial 16S ribosomal RNA
Rfam family: Bacterial small subunit ribosomal RNA
Source: RNAcentral
UACGUAGGUGGCAAGCGUUAUCCGGAAUUAUUGGGCGCAAAGAGCACGCAGGUGGUUGAUUAAGUCUGAUGUGAAAGCCCACGGCUUAACCGUGGAGGGUCAUUGGAAACUGGUCGACUUGAGUGCAGAAGAGGGAAGUGGAAUUCCAUGUGUAGCGGUGAAAUGCGUAGAGAUAUGGAGGAACACCAGUGGCGAAGGCGGCUUCCUGGUCUGUAACUGACACUGAGGCGCGAAAGCGUGGGGAGCAAACAGGAUUAGA